This 378-nucleotide ribosomal RNA is filed under the name uncultured eukaryote. Its description in RNAcentral is "SSU rRNA". It matches the Rfam family "Eukaryotic small subunit ribosomal RNA", at positions 587 to 972 of the family's 1831-position model. The record is from RNAcentral.
AGCUCCAAUAGCGUAUAUUAAAGUUGUUGCGGUUAAAAAGCUCGUAGUUGGAUUUUAGUUCAUGUGGGACGGUGCGCCCUCGGCGAUUACUGUCCCACCGAGCAAUAGCAGGCUCGCACGUUGUGCCCUUAACUGGGUGCUUCGCGUGGCCUUCAUGUUUACUUUGAAAAAAUUAGAGUGCUCAAAGCAGGCCCAUCGCCUGAAUAGUCUUGCAUGGAAUGAUGUAAUAGGACCUCGGUUCUAUUUUGCUGGUUUUCGGAACCCGAGGUAAUGAUUAAUAGAGACGGACGGGGGCAUUCGUAUUGCGACGCUAGAGGUGAAAUUCUUGGACCGUCGCAAGACGUACUACUGCGAAAGCAUUUGCCAAGAACGUUCUCA